GACGAACGCUGGCGGCGUGCCUAAUACAUGCAAGUUGAGCGCUGAAGGUUGGUACUUGUACCAACUGGAUGAGCAGCGCACGGGUGAGUAACGCGUGGGGAAUCUGCCUUUGAGCGGGGGACAACAUUUGGAAACGAAUGCUAAUACCGCAUAAAAACUUUAAACACAAGUUUUAAGUUUGAAAGAUGCAAUUGCAUCACUCAAAGAUGAUCCCGCGUUGUAUUAGCUAGUUGGUGAGGUAAAGGCUCACCAAGGCGAUGAUCCAUAGCCGACCUGAGAGGGUGAUCGGCCACAUUGGGACUGAGACACGGCCCAAACUCCUACGGGAGGCAGCAGUAGGGAAUCUUCGGCAAUGGACGAAAGUCUGACCGAGCAACGCCGCGUGAGUGAAGAAGGUUUUCGGAUCGUAAAACUCUGUUGGUAGAGAAGAACGUUGGUGAGAGUGGAAAGCUCAUCAAGUGACGGUAACUACCCAGAAAGGGACGGCUAACUACGUG
Molecule: ribosomal RNA, 497 nt
Filed under: uncultured bacterium
Lineage: Bacteria
Description: partial 16S ribosomal RNA
Rfam family: Bacterial small subunit ribosomal RNA
Source: RNAcentral